Molecule: transfer RNA, 72 nt
Filed under: Ictidomys tridecemlineatus (thirteen-lined ground squirrel)
Lineage: Eukaryota; Metazoa; Chordata; Mammalia; Rodentia; Sciuridae
Description: Spermophilus tridecemlineatus (thirteen-lined ground squirrel) tRNA
Rfam family: tRNA
About the family: Transfer RNA (tRNA) molecules are approximately 80 nucleotides in length.
Source: Rfam by way of RNAcentral
UGGGUUGUGGCUCAGUGGUAGAGUGCUUCCCUAGCCCAUGUGAAGCACUGGGUUCGAUCCCCAACACCCCAU